Molecule: long non-coding RNA, 2501 nt
Organism: Sciurus carolinensis (gray squirrel)
Lineage: Eukaryota; Metazoa; Chordata; Mammalia; Rodentia; Sciuridae
Exons: 3
Source: RefSeq, a predicted model, not a curated record
GGACACAGAGAGUCCACGAGCUCCUUUCCAGAGCUUACGGAGGACUUCCGGUCUUGCUGUCUGAAUUUUCCUUCCACACAACCACCAGAUUUGAAGUAUCUGCUAGGAAGAUGUAUUGGAAAGAAGUAGGCAUACUCUGGUUCCCCUUUCCAUCUCUCCUUUGGAUUCCUAGCCUUAGAUAUUUGGUUUCUUACCAGAAAAUCAAAUUAUAUAAAUACAAUUUUCUCUGCUACAAAAUAAUUGAAAUUCCUACCUGAAGGCCCACUUAUGUUCUAGAAAGUGGGGUCAGAACCAAGUUCUGGAAUGGUAGAAUUUAUGCAAAAUUCUUGCAGUGUUUAAACAUCUGCAAGGAGACACAGGUAAGCAUUUUAAACUAUUGUUUUUUCUGUGUGAAGUGUAUUUUUUAAAAAUGUGAAAAUGAAAGAAGGGUUGGCUGUGGACAAUGGACCCCAGCAUGACCAGGGCUUCUCUGUUUGGAGCUGUGAGGUCAGUGAGCUGGGGACUGCCAGGGAAGCAGGGACCCUGGCUCCUACAUCCCCUGCAGUGCCUGGUGACCUCCUUUCCUAAGGCCACCUUAUGGUAUGAUGUGACUGCUUCAGCUCUUGCCAUCUUGUCCAUAAUUCAGUGUUAGGAAGGAAGACGGGGCAAAGCACAUCCUGCCUUCUGAGCUGCCGUGCGAGGUUCCCAGUACCUGCCCUCUGUCUGCACUCAGGCUCCUGGGCACCGCCAGUUGCAGGGGAAGGGAGGAGAGUUAGUCUUGGUCCAGCUAAUAGGAGGAAUAGCCUCGGGGGGGGGGGGGAGUGCAACCAGAAGGACCCACCACAGGCUGGAAUUCACGGAGUUACAAGGAAGCCAGGGGGACGGGUCAACACCAUGUGGCUGUCCACAGAGGACUCAAGGAAGGAGGACCCCAGCCUUGAGAAGGGGGAGUUCCUGACCCGUCCCCAACACAGACGGCCUGCGGGGGUCCUGCUGAGCGAAGCUGGGUUGCCAGGGGAGGCAGCUGCCUUCGGAGUGCACGGUCUGAGGCCACCCAAGCCCGGGACAUCCUGAGCCACGUGAGUCAGACUGAAACAAGGAGCAGGACCCGAGGACCCUGGCUUGUUAAUUCUUACAUUCUCAAACUAUUCAUCUCUCCAGAAAGACAAAUGAACUCUUGAAUUCUGUGCUAGGAAGAAGUGGCUUCCUCCUGAAUACAUGGUUUGCUUCUGUGUCUUAGAAAAGUGCAGGGAAGAAGCAGCUCCUCACAGCACACAGGUGGCUUUUGUCUGUAUAAGUAGACAUGCACAGCACGCGUGGACAUGUGCACACGUGAUCAUGUGUAUUCUGCCCUCCGAAUCCACAGCAUCCGUACCUAGUACCAAAAAUGUUUAGAAGACAGUCACAUCUGCACUGAGCACGUACAGGUCCCCUGUCCUCGUUCCUUAAUGAUACAGUAGAGCUACCGCGGAUGUGGCAGUCUUGGUGUAUUAGGUGUCACUAGCCAUCCAGGGAUGACCUGAAGCAUGCAGGAUGUGCCUGGAUUCCGCGCCAGCACUACGACGUCUUACAGGAGGGACUUGGGCACCAGUGGAUUUUGAAAUCCACAGGGGUCCUGGACCCUCUCCUCCAGGACACCAGGGACAACGGAGGAUGGAAAUGAAAAACAAAAGCAAAGCCAAGAAGAGGUGCAGAAUCCCUGGCUGUGCGAAGCUGGGUUCAGGAAGAGAUGGAAAAUUCCACAGACCAAAAACGAUUAUUCAGAGAUGGGAAGCAACGUUCUGGAGUUCGCCAAGAGGGAACACAUGUUCUGGGAAGCGGCACCCGCCGGGUGGAAGGAGUCCAAAGCCAGAUUAUGCAAAUGGCCUUUGAGGAUCAGUUCCUGAGAAUGGAGGCGCUUCAGGGUCCAGGAGUCAGGCACACAUGGAGGGCAGGGAGCCUGAGCAAGGUCACCAGGCGUGCCACCGUCCCAGGGGUUGGGCCUCCUUGGUCGGGCACAGGGCUACCCAGAAUGCCCCCAGUGCCUGUCCUCAGAACAGGCACGAUGGAAAGGAAUCCUGCCAUGAGAGACUCAUCCCCAGUCCCCUGUGAGUGAGAUCAGGCUUUGCUGUCCCGAGGGCAGGUGUGUAGCCGCCUCCCACCUGGUCACUUCCACACAGCCUGCGCCAGGCCCUGCUGCGCCCACAUGGCGUCCACGCCCCUCUGCUUGGGAAUACAGGACAUGCGCACAUCCCCACGCUGGGGCGCCAUUCUGACAUUUAAUGCAGGAUUUACACGGACGUUUGCAUCACACUGAUCAGUUGGUCUAAGAUACAUCUGUUGAAAAAGCAGCAUCCUUUGUCUCUGUGUGAACACUUGUGAAGCAGCCCUGGGAUACACAAAUCUACCAAAGAAAAAGUACAGUACCCAUUUCUGUAUAAGAAUAUAUUAUUUAAAAGACAGUUUAAAAAUAAAAAUUCUGUACAGCAUCAUGAAUUCUGGUUUCUUUUUCUUUUUUCUUUUUUUUGAUCAGUGAACAAAAU